This is a long non-coding RNA of Heterocephalus glaber (naked mole-rat), 4100 nucleotides long. RefSeq lists it as uncharacterized. Lineage: Eukaryota; Metazoa; Chordata; Mammalia; Rodentia; Bathyergidae. The record is from RefSeq and is a predicted model, not a curated record.
AAAUACUGAAAAAAAUUGGGCUGAACUAGGCGAGAAGACAAGGAAUGAGGAACUAACUUACACUGACUUUGGACACUGGUAUUCAUCUUGGGUCUCCUCCAAAGCCCUCUGUGUUAAAGGCUCGGUCCUUUCCUUGGUGCUAUGGGAAAGUGGCACAUGUAAGAGGUGGAACCUAGUGGAGAAAGUUCUGUCACUGGGGGACAUGCCCUUGAAAAGGACAUUGGGACUCUAGCCUCUUCUCUUUUCUUUCCAAGGAGGCUGCCAUGAUGUACUCUCCUGCUACCGCAUCCAAGUGACCUAAGGUUGAAAACUCUGGAAUGAUGAGUCAUGAUAAACCUUUCCUUCAUAUAAGUUGUUGACCUCAGCCUCCAGUACUCGCCAGAGGCCAUAAGAAGAAGUUUCAUAGACUUACCGUGUAUGAAAGGACACUAAAUCUUCUAUCUCCUGCAGGCCAAAUAGGAAAUGAAAAGGUUUAUUGUACUCUGUGACAGAGGCAAAACAUCUGUUAGCAAAGACAAGGGAGGAGAGGGAGAUUUUCCAUCUUCCUUAUGAACAUUCACAAAGAAAUACUGAUAAAUUUACUGUCACUAUGAAGUGACAGCUUAUCACUUUCCAAGAUCCCUGGUUUGCAGAAGUAUCAAAUGGUUCAUGACUACUAGAAACCGAAGUGUGAAUAUUCUCCACAGCAGAACUGCACCUCAGCAUCAAAUUUAGCUAAAUGGAACCAGAAAGAGGAUUCAGAAGGGAUAUAAACUCAGUGUUGUCAUUACCCAACAUUCAGUAUAGUCCUAGAAGUGCAACUCCACUUCCUAUAAAGGGUAGUUUUUCUUUCAAGGAAAUCCUCUUGCAAUCCAUCAUUUCACUGAACUGUAUUUGGUUCCAGGGAAUCAGGAAAAUAGCUCAAGCCAUAAAACUAUUUCAACAAUACCUCUAAACUGUUAUGGAGUUUUGUUUCCUUUCCUCAAGAGGGAUGGGUGGUGGGGUCCCUGUAAAUGGAUAUUCUGAGGUCAGAUGGGUUUACACUUGUGGCAUAUGGGUGUGUGACUGUGGAAGGUCAGGAUUAGAGCGAGCUUACCUUGGCACCAGCCGUACCCAGAACUAUCCAGAAUGGGGUCUGGUGCAUAACAGAUAUUGUUAUAUUGCAAUUGCUUAUUGGAUUAGAUCUUACUAGACCAAUAACCAGUGUGAAGGAUUCAUCUGCCCGUGAAUCUUUGGAAAAGUAUGUCCAUGGCCCCAACUACUUACAGUAUGCAUUCAUUUAUUUGUUUAUUUGUUUAUGAGUUUGUGUCUCAUCUCCUUGCACAAGAACUGUGAAACUUUUUCAAUUCACACUUUUUCACAAUGUAGGCAGUUUGAAUUUUCAACUCGUUUUUUCAUAUGUCAAUGGGGUUUGUAUUUGAAUUUUCCUUAAUUUUUGAAUUGGGAUUAAAAUUAGUAAAGUGAUUGAUAUACAAUAGGGAAGACAUGCCAAAAACCAUCUAUGUUUUUAAUUUUGAAACUCAAAUAUUGGCUUGCUUGGGACUGAACCUUAGGAUUAUGUGAUUUCUAUUCUCUUGUAUUUUUGUUUUACCAUUUGUGUGUGUGUUCCUCUAUUAUCUUUUUGCUUCCUACUUUACACUUUAUACAUCAUACCUGCCUACUCUUCUAUAAAGAAAUCAGUCUAUGACAGUAGGUACAGUGUAAACCUCUGCCUUGAUUGCAGAAAUUAACCCUCAAACUUCCCCAAACAUGCCAACAACAGGGAGCGAUUUCAGUCUUACAAUGGACUCAAGCAGCUGGUAUAGUUAGAAUCUAAGGGCAGCUUUUCUGUUUCUUGCUACUUUUUCCCCCUUUUCCCUCAGCAGAAGCUAAAACUUUAUUAUAAAACCACAGAUAAGUAUAUCAACUGCUAGGAGUCUGGCACGUCAGAAUACAAGGAAAUAAGAGAUAAGAGAAUUUGGUCAAAUACAAAAAGUACUGUGGAAUUUAAACCAAAUGACAGCAGAUAAGGCUUUCUCUGAGUUUCUAUUAAAAAUGUAAUAAAUAAGAGAUCCAAAAUUUUCUCCUAGUCCAGAACUUUUGUUCCUAUAUUGCUUGUCACAAAUGCAUAGUAUUUUUGUCAAAGCACAGAUUCUAUUCACAGUUGCAAACACAUGCUCUUCUGGAGUCAUGUUACAGGUAUGACAGCUUCGGAUUGAUUUCCUAUGAGUCUUUCAGCAAAGUCUAAGAUUUGAAUAAACAGACUUUAUUUACACACUUAAGGAAGAAGCUCCCUAAGUCUGUAUGGAAACCUGUGUAAAAGCAAAGAGGACUCAGUGAGAUCUCCAGGAAUCAGAACUCUAAAUCUACAAAGGAAUGUUGAGAACUUUCCUUAUGAUGCUCCUUAGGGAAAGAAAAUACAGAAAUUUUUAUUUCAUUGGAUUAUCUUAUUUCCAAUGUAUGUAAUUCUGUAAGGACCCCAAGGUUCUGUUAGUAAUGAUUCUUAGAGAUAUUUCAUGAUCCAUUAUGGGAUUGAAAUUGACCGAAAUCAGAUAGAUCUUUAAAAGUGUAUAUGGUCCAUCUCAAUAAGUUUGCAUAGAUACAAGGAGACCAUCUUGGUGCCUUUGAUCUUAGGGAGAGAGGAGAGACAGGAAAAUCUAGACGAGAAGAGGCCCUGCUGGCAUCCGGAUGGCAGGGUCUCUGGAGUCUGCCCCUUGAGUUUGAUCUGUGCUCAGGUGACGGGCUCCUGUGGUGUCUGCUGCUUCUCAGAAGGGCAAUUGCCCUAAUCCAUGAAGUGUCUCCCUGCCUAAUAUGGAGCAUGAGCCACCCUCAGCCUCCCUCACUCCCAGUCUCUAUCUGCCCAAAAGGUCACUGUAUUUGGAUAAUACGUAGUAUUCAAGCCAUUUUAUUUUAUAUCUUUUGUUCUUCCGUGAUGUAUGUGUGUAUAUGGUUUUUGUGGAGUUAGAUUUAUGUUUUUAAAGCAUUCAGUUAUAGACAGUUUCAGACUAUGAUGUCUAUGUAUCUAGUAGCUUGAAAAAAAAUAGGCCAAACCUUAUGUGAUUCAUUAUAUUAUGCCAGCUGAAAGAUUGGAACACUAUUAUCAAUGUUCAGGAAUAAUUUCCAUUGAACACAGGAAUAGAUCCUUCCUGGGUACUAAAUUCAGUUCCAUAAAUAGGUUACAUUACGCUAAUAGCUCUGAGUAUCAAAUCAUGAGUGACUGUAACUAUCCACAAGCAAAACCAGAGCCAUUUAUGAAUAGGUUGUGUGGAUAAUUGUGGCAUUUUUAAUGUCAUGAUUCAACACCUAAUUUGUUAAUAGUUCAAGUUUGAGUGCCCUGUUAUUUUAUAGUAUCAAGUCUUAGAUUUUCUAGGUAAAGAGAGAUGAUGCUAUUCAGAAGGCAUUAAGAAAUCUAACUAUAUGUGGACCAUGGAUGAAGAAGAUGCAGUCUUCCUAAAGUUAACUAUUGAGAUGCUCAUAUAAUUAUCACAGUUAAGACAGUCUAACUCUGGUGACUUAAAAAGGUACCAUUUUGUAAACUAUCUAGUUCUCUUACUGAAACAAUUUGAGAUCUGAUAUCAGCUGAACAUUUCCACUUAUUAUAAAUAAGAAUCUCAUAAAUAUUUGCAGCUUCUGUGCUAUACUAUGACCCAGUAUAAGAAAUGAAUGUGAGACUGAAUAAAGGCUGAAAACCUUACCCCUAUGUUUCCUAUGGUUCCUGUGAAAAAAUCCACUUCAGCCUCAUAUCUGAAUAGCCACAUAGAGUUCCUUCUUGCCCUGUGCAAAAAUAGCUGAUUAAUGACUAGCUAGAGUAAAAUGAAUAACGAGUGUGAGGUAUGUAGACAGUAUCUGCAACAUGCCCUUCUAUAAGUGCUGAUUAUCAUUAUCAUACUUCUUACUUUUAUUUGUCAAUUCGGAUUUCUAGGUGAGGGAACAUUUAUUAAUCAUCUACUUUUUCGGAGUCUCCUAUCAAAACAAAAUGUAUAGAAACUGGGACUUUUGACAGACUAAGACCAUAGGUCCUUACUCUUUGUGUGUUUAAUUUCUAAAAAUUUGACCAUUUAUUCUAAAUUUUAAAACUGUAUGCUUCUGUGUUCAUAACUUUAUAUCACAUGAGAUAGAAUUUCUUGACUAAAGAAAUCCUG